GAGGAUAUAGCUCAGCUGGGAGAGCAUUUGGUUUACACCCAAAAUGUCACAGGUUCGAUCCCUGUUAUCCUCA
RNAcentral lists this transfer RNA (73 nucleotides) under compost metagenome. RNAcentral's name for it is "tRNA-Val". It matches the Rfam family "tRNA". Rfam says of the family: Transfer RNA (tRNA) molecules are approximately 80 nucleotides in length. The record is from RNAcentral.